UGAAUUGGAGCUGUAGCCACCAGCCUACGCCAGAGCCACAGCAACGCAGGAUCUAAGCUGCGUCUGCGACCUGCUGCACACAGCUCAUGGCAACACCGGAUCCUUAACGCACUGAGCAAGGCCAGUGAUCCAACCUGCAUCCUCGUGGAUGCAAGUCAGAUUCGUUAACCCCUGAGCCAUGACAGGCACUCUCCAAAUGCAGGAUCUUAAUUAUCAUUGGUGAUUGUUUGUUUCAAACAUGGCAAUUGUUAUAAAUGCAAAUACAGCGGCAUAGGAAGUAAAGUCAGAGGGUCAUUUCCCUACUUCCGGCACUUCUGCCCCUCCUGCCAUGAUGGACACUCUGAACACUUUAUCACGUUGGUGGUGUCUUUUCGGACAUUUUCACAGGCCUCCCACCUGCAUGGGUCUCAUCCCUGGGCACUCGUCCAGGCCCACUCCCUCCUCCUCCUCCUCCCUCCCUGCUUCUGCAUGGCCACCGGGAUAUUUAUUCUCUGGCUGGCUGCCUCUCUGCAGGGUCAGCUGCUGGCUGCGGUCCUGGGCUGUGCUGUAGGGCACCUUCCCCUCUCAGAUUCCCAUGACUGCCUCCUUCUCACCCUUCAUCUUCGGGGAUGGCUGCUGGCCCCUGCCUGCUUCGUCGUCCCUUAAACCCCGUAAAGAACCCCUUUUAUUGUGCAAUCCUCAGAUCAUCCCAUCUCAGGUUUCGGAGGGCCUUGGCUGAUAAUAAUAUAUUGCUUUGUAAUCUACAAGGAUAUGUGUGUAUAUGUGUGUGAAUGUAGAAUGUAGUAUCAUAAAUAUAUAUAUAUUUACAUAUAUGUAGUUAUAUGCAUAAACCUCCUUUUUAAGAUGAGCAUGGUAUUCUGCAGUGUUCCACUGAGUGGAUAUGCAUUAUUUAUGUAACCAGCCCCUCUACUGAUAAAGCUUUAAGAUUGUGUUCAGGAGUUCCCGUUGUGGCUCAGUGGGUAAUAAACCCGACUAGUAUCCAUGAGGACACGGGUUUGAUCCCUGGCCCUGCUCAGUGGGUUAAGGAUCCAGUGUUGCCGUGAGCUAUGGUGUAGGUCGCAGACGAAGCUCAGAUCUCACGAUGCUGUGACUGUGGUGUAGGCCGGCAGCUACAACUCCGGUUCAACCCCUAGCCUGGGAACCUCCAUAUGCUGUGGGUGAGGCCCUAAAAAGACAAAGGGGAAAAAAAAAUUGUAUUCAGUUUUUCCUUUUGAUAUCGUGGCAUUCACAAAUACGGCUUCUUCCAGGAGCCUGAAAGCAUGGCCUAAGGCAGUGGAAGUGAGCUGCGAGAUCCUGGGCCAGACGCUUCCCUUCCCCCUUCCCGAUGCCUCGGUUUCGCCGUCUGUCUAAUGGGAACAGCGUGCUGUAUAGAUCACCCUGGAGGCACGGAAUGGCCUGUGAUUUUGCUAAGGCCUCAUCUUUGACCAACUGCUGCUGGGAGGCUGGAGUUCAGGCAGGGGUCAGCUGGCCAUCAGGGGAGGCAGUGGAUGGAGGGUGUCCCCACUUUAACACGGCGUCGUGGUUGCAAACCCUGGGAGGCACCUGCCCAGCACACUCAGGAACAGCCGAAAUAAUAAUUCCUGGAGGAAGCCCUGAAGAGCAAACCACUGUGACUGCUAGAAUUGAGACAAAGGGAAAACGAAGAUUCAGAUUCAGCACUGAUUUUAUUUAUUUAUUUAUUUAAGCUUUUUAGCUCAGGCAUAGGGAGGUUCCCAGGCUAGGCGUCUGAUUGGACUACAGCUGCCGGCCUACACCAGCCACAGCAGCACAGGAUCCAAGCUGCGUCUGGGACCUACACCACAGCUCACAGCAAUGCCAGAUCCUUGACUCACUAAGUGAGGCCAGGGAUUGAACCUGUAUCCUCAUGGAUGCUAGUCAGGUUCCUUACCACUGAGCCACAGUGGGAUCUUCCUGAUUCUUCGUUACAGUGAAGUGUCCUGGGAGAAACGACGUGUUCCAGGGUCGUUGGGGGAGCUUCGAAUAGGAAAUGAGUGAUUGAGGAGAGGGUGUUCAGGGCUGCAAGGCUCGAUGCCUCAGCCCCUCUUCAAGGCUGUGGGAUGCCCCGCCCCCGAGAACUGGACCUCGCGGCCACUGGUCCUUCCCUCCCCAAGACCCUGAGGCUGCAGCUCCAGGAGCAUCUCCCAGCUGCCCCUCCAGGGCGCCCUCACCCCAGCACUGGAGGCCAGCGAGGGUCCAGGAGAGGUUCACUGGGGCAGCGAACAGUGGCCCCAGGAAAUCCCAAGCGCGUCUGGGUUGGGCGGACGGAGCCCGAAGCCACCACGGCCCGGCCAGCAGGUGUCACUGCCGCCCCAGCGGAGUGCCGGGGCACAGGGUUUGCCUCUAAAAUGACAGAGUUAGAAUGAUGUCCCCUCAUCCCCAACUCCCCCUCCCCACCACAAUUUCCACCUAAGAAAGGGAGCGAAAGCCCCUCCCUUCCCUGUCCCCCCAAAGCUGGUAAUGUGCAGGCGGAAGAGUUCACGCCACCGGCUGAGCUGUGCCCUCCUUCUCUGGCCUGGUCAGGGCAUGUGAUAGCACUCAGGAGCUGGAUCCCCAGAGCACCACUGCCGGCUGUGCCCUGGGAACCCUUGCUGCAGGAUGCAUGGAGGGAGGGGCAAGGGGCUCCCCUUGACUUGAUAAUCCAGCCGGUGGCUGGGAUAAGUUGAAGGGGAAUUUGCAAGUGUUAACAGAGAGAGGCCCAGCCUAGGUCUGGGGAGCUGAGUCCAACCCCUUCCCAGCCUGGUUUUCUUUACUCCAGAGGCUGUACGGAGGGUCUUGCUCAGGUUUUCAGUCACUCUUCUGAGUAUUAGGAGGAAAGGAAGCAGCUCACUUGGAUGGGGUUAUACGGUGACCACCUGUCCCAUUUCCCAGCACUCGAGCGGUUCCUAAGAUGCAAGACUUCGGUGCUAAACCACAGAAAACCCAGGGCAGCAGGAACACCUUGGUCAUCCUAACUGGGUCCUGACCACUUUUCAGGCAUUAUUUCUUUUCUUUUUUCUUUUUCUUUUUUGUCUUUUUGCCUUUUCUAGGGCCGCUUCCCUCGGCACAUGGAGGUUCCCAGGCUAGGGGUCUAAUCGGAGCUGUAGCCGCCGGCCUACGCCACAGCCACAGCAACGAGGGAUCCGAGCCACGUCUGAGACCACAGCUCACGGCAAUACCAGGUCCUUAACCCACUGAGCAAGGCCAGGGAGCGAACCCCCUGGCCUCAUGGUUCCUAGUCGGAUGCGUUAACCACUGAGCCACGAUGAGAACUCCGGGGCAUUAUUUCUUUUAUUCCACAUCGGUGGUCAUAUUUUCAUCCUCAUCCUACAGAAGAAGAAACUGAGGGUCAAAGAGGCCAUAGAAACUGUCCAAAGCCUCAGAGGGGAAAGGAAGAGCUGACGUUUGAAUGCAGGUCCAUUUGAUGUGCAUUUUUCCGGUCCUCCCCACCACCCCCCUUCCUGGUCCCCUGAUGCCUCUGAGGUUUUGAGCUGAGAAGCGGCUCUCACUGGCCAAUCUGUGAGGCCCAGACGGUAGGCAGCUGUGGGUCGUGGGCACAGAUAAUUACAGCGUGUGCUGUGUGGUUGCCUGAGCUGUGGCAGCAGCCUGGGAGCUCCUCAAGGGCUUGGGGUCCUGGGGGAAGCAGCUUGUUGGAAACCGGAGGGAGAGGGGACUUUGUGGAUCUGAUGGUCAGGGCACAGGCAGCGGAAAAGCACAUGGUGGACCGAGCCAUGGGGGGCAUGUUUGAGUUGACAGGGCUUGACUGCUCCAGUUGGAAAGGGCCAGCAUCAAAAGGCCUUGGUGACUUCAUCUAUUUUCCCCAGAGUCCAGGCAUUUUUCUGGAGUAUCUUCUAAAAGGCCCAGGCCUGGUGAUCUCAGGCCCCUGGAGUGGGCCAACAGGGAUGAGUGUUUAUCCUGAGCUGGCAAGGGGUGGGGAGGGAAGGAAGGAGCAGAUGCUGAUAGAGGCCCACUGUGGUCUCCCUUGCUGGCUGGGCAGGUGGGGGCAGCAUCGGCCACCCUCAUGGCUUGUCAUGAAAUGCUAUCAGGUUGGAAAAACAUUCAACCUGAGCAUGAAAACCCAAAUGAAAUGAUUCACCUGGUCCUACCUUCGUCUGGUAGAACCAACUCUUGUUGUCCACUCACCCCAUCUCCCUCUGCUGGCUGCCUUUGUGCAGUGCACAAACUGCACAACUGUACAUGGCAGUCCAGCUACAGAAGCCUGUUUAUAUCAGAGACUGAGGAUUUACCAGAAAGGAGGAGAGUUCUAGGCAUGAGUGGGCAGAGGAGUAAAACUGGAAAUGUCUGAGACCUGGCAAUGCCCUCCCCACCUGGACCCUCUGUGUGUGGAGUGGUCAACUCUGCCUGGCAAGUACCCAGGAUAAGUUAUUCAGGAAGACAAGGAGCAGAAAGGGCCUCCUGGACGAAGGAAUGAGACGUGCAAAUGCACAGAGGCAUAAAAUAUCCAGGCUUCCUGGAGAGUAGGGAACAAGGUGGAGACAGUGGGGGACAGUGGGGGACAGGUGGGCAGGGGCCAGAAGGCAGGGGCCUGGGCUUCUUGUUCUGCGGCCAGGACGGAAUGAGCCAGGCUGGAGAGAAGAGGGCGGCAGGAGAAGGCCAGGCGGAGGGGUAGCCCUUCUGCUUGCGGGCUCCCCAGAGAUCUCCUUCAGUGUGCUGAGCUCUGUCUUCUGCCUACCGAGCCUGUUCCUACUGGGGGUCAUGGAAGUAGAAGUUGGAAGCUUUCCUCUCAAGCUGAAAUGCCAGGUCUGCAGAAGAAAAUCUUGACUCCACCUGUUGCCUUACAAGGGACAGAGGGUACAGUGGGGGUUCAGAGUGAGUCCGUCCCCAUGGUUGGGUGAUCUGAAAGGACUUCUCAGAGCUGCCUAGACCUGCCUGGGGGCAUGGCCUCCCCCUGCCUUGGGCACCGGGGGAGCCACACUCCCCUCCCCUGGGCUCUGCCACCUGCAAACUGGCCCAGCGUCUCCCACCCAGCCAGUGGCUGGGGCAUAAACUGCCCGGAUGGCGUGAUUAUUUUUUCUUCCUCCUGGUGGGUGGCAGCAUCUUAGGGACCAACUCCCGCCUCUUGCCCACAUGUGCAUAUGUGCCAGAGAGGGUGGACCUAGGUUUGCUUUUACUGAGCCAAAGCAUUUUGCUAUUUUCUUUUUCUCUGAAGUUCUGGUUUCUCUUUUUUGAAAGGCUCGGGGAGGGGGCUGGAAAGGACUCACUCGACCCAUGUUGAUCUGGAAAGACUGAAAUUGUGCGGACAAUGGCUCGUGGGCCAGGCUGGCCAUGUCCCAGGGCGAAGCCCCAUGCUGGGCUGUCCUAACAAGAACUUGAUCUGAACCGAACCAUGACCCCCAAAUUGGAAAAACACUGCCCUGAUUCACCGAACCCCAAACCGAAUCCAAAUAUUAUUAUUUUUCGACUGAACUCUGAAUUGAACUGAUUUUUUUUUCUUAAAUACCGACCAAGCCAGUUGGAACUAGACACAAACAUAUGUGUUUUCUGAAACUAUUGAACCUGAACUUCAAAAUAAUCUCCUAUCCGAGCGCAAAGUGAGACUUUAUUGGCUUGAGAAUGUCCCACUCACAGCAGGCCAGUAAAGCUUCCUUUAUGGCAGGAGUAGCUUUCUUCAUCCCCUUUCGCGUCUCAUCUUUAAAAAUUGAGGGAUGAUUUACAUGUAGUGGAAUGCACAGACCUUAAAUAUACUUUGAUCAAUGUUGACAAAUGCACGUACUCAAGGAACACCCCCUGCCUGUCAAGAUAUAGGGCAUUUGUGGAGUUCCCAUCGGAUCGAACCUGCAUCCUCAUGGACACUAGUUGGGUUCUUAACCCACUGAGUGCAAUGGGAACUCCCCACUUUUGUUUCUUUUUUUUUUUUUUUUUUUUUUUUUUUUCUGUCUUUUUGCUAUUUCUUGGGCCGCUCCCGCGGCAUAUGGAGUUUCCCAGGCUAGGGGUCGAAUCGGAGCUGUAGCUGCCAGCCUAUGCCAGAGCCACAGCAACUCGGGAUCCAAGCUGCGUCUGCAACCUACACCACAGCUCACGGCAACGCCGGAUCGUUAACCCACUGAGCAAGGGCAGGGACCGAACCCGCAACCUCAUGGUUCCUAGUCGGAUUCGUUAACCACUGUGCCACAACGGGAACUCCUGUUUCGUGUUUGAGCCUUAUGAACACCCCUCCUCUUGCACCCUGGAAAGAAGGAGGCUAGUAUGAUAAUACCCAUCUUAUUUAUGGAGGAGAGAACUCAGGAUGGGAGAAUCACCAAUAACUUCCUUGAACCCAUACAACUAGGUGGUGGCAGGGUUAGAAUGACCCAGCUUUCUGGUCUCCCAGCCAAGUGCUUCCUCUUGCCAUCUCAAGCCCUCUGCUGAACAAUGAAUUGAAUGCCUCCUCGGGCUUCCUUUGGGAUUGUACCCACCUCUGGCUUCACGGCUGGAUGGGAUUUGCUCAGCUCACAAGCAGGGUGGUUUCCCCUCUUUGUAAAGACCUCUUGGUGGAGAGGUCCUGGCACGUCUGGGUCCUGGACUGGGCUGCCCCUGCAGGCCCGCCCUUCUCCUGGGGCCUCUGUGCACCCCUGCGGCGGCAGCCUGCACUGGGGCGCCUGUCCCCUGUCUCCAGCCUGCCUGUGUGUGGCUGUCUGUCGGUGUCUCUGGCUGCCUGCGUGUAGACAAACUGCGUCUGACCCCCGGGGAGCAGCGUCUGUCUCCCUGGGCAGCCCAGCUAGAGAACAUUGACCAGGUUCCCAAGCUGGUUUUCCUGGGGAAACAUUUUCCAGAGCCUACAACAAUGUUGCAUUUGAUUUGAUUUUUCUCCCCCCACCCUUUGCAGGCGAUUGUGUGGUUUGGGGUGUUUUGCUCCUAGUUAUAAUCCAAUAAAGAGCAGCUGCUGAGAUUUUUCCAAGAGUGCCGCUUUCAACCGCCCUCGUUGAAAAUGCUCUAAUUUAUUUCAGUCCGCUUGUGGGAAAACCAGCCUCAGCUGAAAACAAAGGCGUCCUAUGCUGAUGUAAUUGCCACCCCCCCCCCCCCCCCCCCCCCCCCCGCCCCGCCCCGAGGCUCUCCUCAGGGCUCGGGGCCUGCGGGUGCUCACUGCGGCAGCCCGAGGAAGUAGCAUCCUUUCUAGAGGGCGGAAGUUAUCUCGAGCAACCUCGUUCCCUUCCCAACCUCUCCCGGGGAUGCAGGAGUCCCAAAGGCUCCUGGGGGUCGGGAGCCAAGAUGAUCCUCAUGGUUUGUCCAUUUCCUGUGAUUCGCAGAGGUCAGUCUGUUGGCCCCUCACAUCGUCAAGUGAAUGAAUCUGCUCGUUUUCUUUCUGUUCAAUAACUAGUUGAAUCCUGCCCAUUGAGGGGACAGAAGUUUGGGUGACAAGACUGAUGAAGAGAAAGGGAAUUUGGGGGCGUUCUUGUGGUUCAGUGGUAAAGAACCCGAUUAGUAUCCAUGAGGGUGCGGGUUCUA
This 7422-nucleotide long non-coding RNA is filed under the name Sus scrofa (pig). RNAcentral describes it as "lncRNA (ENSSSCG00025045109.1)". The record is from RNAcentral. Lineage: Eukaryota; Metazoa; Chordata; Mammalia; Artiodactyla; Suidae.